UUAUGGCCAUGUCAUAUUGGAACACUGGUUCUCAUAUGAACGCCAAGGGUAAGCAUCAUCAAGCCUGGUCAGUACCAAGGUAGGUGACCACUUGGGAACGUGUGGGUGGUG
RNAcentral lists this ribosomal RNA (111 nucleotides) under Acanthosepion pharaonis. Lineage: Eukaryota; Metazoa; Mollusca; Cephalopoda; Sepiida; Sepiidae. The record is from RNAcentral.